CCUACGGGUGGCAGCAGUGGGGAAUAUUGGGCAAUGGAGGCAACUCUGACCCAGCAACGCCGCGUGAAUGAUGAAGGUCUUCGGAUUGUAAAGUUCUUUUCUAAGGGAAGAAGAAAGUGACGGUACCUUAGGAAUAAGCCUCGGCUAACUACGUGCCAGCAGCCGCGGUAAUACGUAGGAGGCAAGCGUUAUCCGGAAUGACUGGGCGUAAAGGGUGCGUAGGUGGUUUGACAAGUUAGUAGCGCAACUCCGGAGCUCAACUUCGGAACUACUACUAAAACUGUUGGACUUGAGUGCAGGAGGGGCAAUCGGAAUUCCUAGUGUAGCGGUGGAAUGCGUAGAUAUUAGGAGGAACACCAGUGGCGAAGGCGGAUUGCUAGACUGUAACUGACACUGAGGCACGAAAGCGUGGGGAGCAAACAGGAUUAGAUACCCUUGUAGUC
This 443-nucleotide ribosomal RNA is filed under the name uncultured bacterium. RNAcentral describes it as "partial 16S ribosomal RNA". It matches the Rfam family "Bacterial small subunit ribosomal RNA", at positions 338 to 795 of the family's 1533-position model. The record is from RNAcentral.